UGUCACCGCCUCUCACUCAAGGGACCUCUUUUGUCCAUUGAAGAAAUGGAAGCUGUGAAAAAGAUGAACUACAGAGGGUGGCGCAGUAAGGUUCUUGAUAUUACCUUCUCCCGAGACCGUGGUACGAAGGGUCUAGAGGAGACCUUAGAUAGGAUCUGCUCUGAAGCGCUCGAGACUGUGGUACGAAGGGUCUAGAGGAGACCUUAGAUAGGAUCUGCUCUGAAGCGCACAGUGCGAUUCAGGAGGGUUAUACAACAAUCAUUCUUUCUGACAGAG
Molecule: long non-coding RNA, 276 nt
Filed under: Nicotiana benthamiana
Lineage: Eukaryota; Viridiplantae; Streptophyta; Magnoliopsida; Solanales; Solanaceae
Description: long non-coding RNA (NBEN_LNC017562)
Source: RNAcentral